Molecule: ribosomal RNA, 414 nt
Filed under: uncultured microorganism
Description: bacterial SSU rRNA
Rfam family: Archaeal small subunit ribosomal RNA
Source: RNAcentral
CAGCCGCCGCGGUAAUACCGGCGGCCCGAGUGGCGGCCACUAUUAUUGGGCCUAAAGCGUCCGUAGCCGGGCUGGUAAGUCCCCCGGGAAAUCUGGCGGCUUAACCGUCAGAAUUCCGGAGGAUACUCCCAGCCUAGGGAGCGGGAGAGGCCGAGGGUAUUCCCGGAGUAGGGGUGAAAUCCUAUAAUCCCGGGAGGACCACCUGUGGCGAAGGCGCUCGGCUGGAACGCGUCCGACGGUGAGGGACGAAGGCCAGGGGAGCAAACCGGAUUAGAUGCCCGGGUAGUCCUGGCUGUAAACGAUGCGGACUUUGUGUCGGACAAGCUAUGAGCUUGUCCGGUGCCGGAGGGAAACCGUUAAGUCCGCCGCCUGGGGAGUACGGCCGCAAGGCUGAAACUUAAAGGAAUUGGCGGG